CAUUAGAUGGCUGAAUUGUAAGCACUGGUCUCUUAAACCAAUUUAUAAUAAAUUAACAUUUAUUUCUAAUGG
This 72-nucleotide transfer RNA is filed under the name Culicoides dubius. Its description in RNAcentral is "tRNA-Lys". It matches the Rfam family "tRNA". Rfam says of the family: Transfer RNA (tRNA) molecules are approximately 80 nucleotides in length. Lineage: Eukaryota; Metazoa; Arthropoda; Insecta; Diptera; Ceratopogonidae. The record is from RNAcentral.